GUGAGCCCAGGACCUGCCACACUGUGCCAGCCUCGCCCAAGCCACCCCCCAGCCAGGACGCGGUCUUUCCUGACUCAGCAGGCUGAGGCACCUGAGGCUUUCAUUUUAAUUAUGAACCACUUCAAAGCCUUUCUGGAAGCAGUCUCUGCAAUAACCAACCUGGGUUCUCUCCUAAUGUGGGGAUUGUCCUGGAGCCCAGGCCUUCCAAGGCUCCUCCGCCCGCCAACAUCACCUACCUCAUCUUCCUCUUCAGCACAUCCCCAACAUUGUCUAAGCGGUAACUCACCUGAGCAAAGCACUUGACACGGAUUCAUUCAUUUACUCCUCACAACAACCUGAUGAGGUAGGUACUAUUAUGUCCAUUUUACAGGUGGCAAAAACAAGGCCUAGAGAGGUGAAGUAACUUAUCUGUCUAAGGUUACACAGGUUGGUAGUGGGCCCAAGGUUCAAAUUCCAGCAGUCAGGCUGGGCGCGGUGGCUCAUCCCUGUAAUCCUAGCACUUUGG
RNAcentral lists this long non-coding RNA (505 nucleotides) under Homo sapiens (human). Its description in RNAcentral is "non-protein coding LINC01514:8". The record is from RNAcentral. Lineage: Eukaryota; Metazoa; Chordata; Mammalia; Primates; Hominidae.